This 497-nucleotide ribosomal RNA is filed under the name uncultured bacterium. RNAcentral's name for it is "partial 16S ribosomal RNA". It matches the Rfam family "Bacterial small subunit ribosomal RNA", at positions 28 to 507 of the family's 1533-position model. The record is from RNAcentral.
GAUGAACGCUGGCGGCGUGCCUAAUACAUGCAAGUCGAGCGAACGGACGAGAAGCUUGCUUCUCUGAUGUUAGCGGCGGACGGGUGAGUAACACGUGGAUAACCUACCUAUAAGACUGGGAUAACUUCGGGAAACCGUAGCUAAUACCGGAUAAUAUUUUGAACCGCAUGGUUCAAAAGUGAAAGACGGUCUUGCUGUCACUUAUAGAUGGAUCCGCGCUGCAUUAGCUAGUUGGUAAGGUAACGGCUUACCAAGGCAACGAUGCAUAGCCGACCUGAGAGGGUGAUCGGCCACACUGGAACUGAGACACGGUCCAGACUCCUACGGGAGGCAGCAGUAGGGAAUCUUCCGCAAUGGGCGAAAGCCUGACGGAGUAACGCCGCGUGAGUGAUGAAGGUCUUCGGAUCGUAAAACUCUGUUAUUAGGGAAGAACAUAUGUGUAAGUAACUGUGCACAUCUUGGCGGUACCUAAUCAGAAAGCCACGGCUAACUACGUG